CAACUCUCAACAACGGAUAUCUUGGCUCUCGCAACGAUGAAGAACGCAGCGAAAUGCGAUACGUAGUGUGAAUUGCAGAAUCCCGUGAACCAUCGAAUCUUUGAACGCAUAUUGCGCUCGAGCCUUCGGGCAAGAGCAUGUCUGUCUCAGCGUC
RNAcentral lists this ribosomal RNA (154 nucleotides) under Parapediastrum biradiatum. Its description in RNAcentral is "5.8S ribosomal RNA". It matches the Rfam family "5.8S ribosomal RNA". From Rfam's summary of the family: 5.8S ribosomal RNA (5.8S rRNA) is a component of the large subunit of the eukaryotic ribosome. It is transcribed by RNA polymerase I as part of the 45S precursor that also contains 18S and 28S rRNA. Functionally, it is thought that 5.8S rRNA may be involved in ribosome translocation. The record is from RNAcentral. Lineage: Eukaryota; Viridiplantae; Chlorophyta; Chlorophyceae; Sphaeropleales; Hydrodictyaceae.